RNAcentral lists this transfer RNA (89 nucleotides) under Felis catus (domestic cat). It matches the Rfam family "tRNA". From Rfam's summary of the family: Transfer RNA (tRNA) molecules are approximately 80 nucleotides in length. Their secondary structure includes four short double-helical elements and three loops (D, anti-codon, and T loops). The record is from Rfam by way of RNAcentral. Lineage: Eukaryota; Metazoa; Chordata; Mammalia; Carnivora; Felidae.
ACCUGGGUGGCUCAGUUGGUUGAGCCUCUGACUUUGGCUCAGGUCAUGAUCCCACGCACGGUUUGUGAGUUCGAGCCCCACAUCAGGCU